This 46-nucleotide transfer RNA is filed under the name Gonystylus macrophyllus. RNAcentral's name for it is "partial transfer RNA-Phe". RNAcentral also lists the same sequence under 49 other names. The record is from RNAcentral. Lineage: Eukaryota; Viridiplantae; Streptophyta; Magnoliopsida; Malvales; Thymelaeaceae.
CGGGAUAGCUCAGCUGGUAGAGCAGAGGACUGAAAAUCCUCGUGUC